Molecule: ribosomal RNA, 118 nt
Filed under: Beta vulgaris subsp. vulgaris (sugar beet)
Lineage: Eukaryota; Viridiplantae; Streptophyta; Magnoliopsida; Caryophyllales; Amaranthaceae
Source: RNAcentral
GGGUGUGAACAUACCAACACUACUGCACCGGAUCCCAUUAGAACUCCGUAAUGAAGCUUCAUAUGCGAGAGUAGUACUAAGAUGGGUGACCUCGUGAGAAGUCCUCGUAUUCCACCCC